UACGUAGGGUGCAAGCGUUAAUCGGAAUUACUGGGCGUAAAGCGUGCGCAGGCGGCUAUGCAAGACAGAUGUGAAAUCCCCGGGCUCAACCUGGGAACUGCAUUUGUGACUGCAUGGCUAGAGUACGGCAGAGGGGGAUGGAAUUCCGCGUGUAGCAGUGAAAUGCAUAGAUAUGCGGAGGAACACCGAUGGCGAAGGCAAUCCCCUGGGCCUGUACUGACGCUCAUGCACGAAAGCGUGGGGAGCAAACAGG
RNAcentral lists this ribosomal RNA (253 nucleotides) under uncultured bacterium. Its description in RNAcentral is "partial 16S ribosomal RNA". It matches the Rfam family "Bacterial small subunit ribosomal RNA", at positions 524 to 776 of the family's 1533-position model. The record is from RNAcentral.